This is a long non-coding RNA of Oreochromis niloticus (Nile tilapia), 2204 nucleotides long. RefSeq lists it as uncharacterized. The record is from RefSeq and is a predicted model, not a curated record. NCBI's taxonomy places the organism in Eukaryota, Metazoa, Chordata, Actinopteri, Cichliformes, Cichlidae. The transcript is spliced from 3 exons.
CACACACACACACACACACACACACACACACACACACACACACGGCUGGCAUAUUGCCCAGGGAACAGUCCAUUGACGUCAGAGAGAGCAGGCUCUUGCCUCAUCCCAGUCCCUCUUCUCCAAACAAACUCAAAACACUCCUGCCACACUGACUCUCUUCCUUUCUCUCUCGCUUUGCUCUCUUUCCCUCUGUCUAACCCUUCUUCUUUUACAGAGGAAAUAGUGGCUGGGACGUGAACCAUAAGGGGGACAGACACUAAAUAAGCCUGUUAAAUCAGGUGGAAGAGGGAGAGGAGAGACAGGGUGGUGGAAACACUUGACACGCUCCGACUCUGUGCAUUUACUUCUCUCCCCUAAGCACACCGCUGUAGCCAUAGCUGUCGGGGGUAAUUAAUGGGACACAACAAGUUCAGUCACUGAACUCCUGCCUCUUCUGAAAAACUCAUUGGACGCCCUUUAUUUAAUCCUGUCUGAUAAUUCCAGGUUAUCCACUGCUGUAUGAAGAGGAAAUCAUCAGAUUCGUGUUCAAGCCUGAUCCCCAAUCUGAAAUAUGAGAGGUGACAUCCACAGCAAGAAAGAUUACAGGAGGAUGUUUCUGGAAAAUAUGACACUCACUGCUUGGUUUUUAUGUGAUGAAACUAUUGAUUUAGUGUCUUAAUCAUAUAUAUACACAAUGGGAGAAUUUUUUUUUUUUUGUAAGUUUCAUUUCUUUACAAGUUUGCUCACUUACAAAGAAACAAACAGUCUUGUAUUUUGUGGUAAUUUCAGUUUAAUGGAGAGACGGAAUGAAAGUCACUCAGUGAUCCUCUGCAACCCAGCCAGAAUUCUAGAUCGCACAGACUAGGGGUUAGGGAUACAACCAAUCAAUUCCAGCUGUCCAAAAUUGUCGAAUGGACAACAAAAGCAUCAGUAAGAAGCUUGUUGAGAAGGUGAAACUGAAGAAAACUAAAAUGACCAACAGUCACCCUCAUGGGGUGAGGAUGAUCAUGAGAAAAGGUGGUGAAUAAGCCCAAAACUACUAAGACAGUUGGGACCACAGUCACUAAGAACACCACCACUGGUAACACACUUCACUGUAAUGAACCGAAAUCUUUCAGCAGCCACUAGGUCCCCCUGCUCAAGAAGGCACAUGCACAGGCUGGUCUUAAGUUUCCCCGUGAACAUCUCAGUGAUUCAGAAAGGGCCUGGGUGCUGAUUGAAACCAUGUUUACUGGGAGGGAAAUGCUGAGUGUGACUCAAAGAACACCAUCCCCACUGACAAGCAAAGAAACCUAAAGGAUUUAAAGUUUCUGUGAAGAGGAGAGGACCAAAAUCUCUCCCGAGAGGUGUGCGAACCUGGUGACCAACUAUAAGAAAUAUCUUACCACUGUACUUCCCAACAAAGAUUUCCUCACCGAGUACCAACUCAUGCAGGAUAUCAAAUACUUAAUUCACUCAAUGCCAUGAAACUCAGUCUGUAACUUUUAUGGAUUUCUGGUUGAUAUUCUGUUUCUCUCCAUUUAAAUAAAACUACCAUUAAAAUUAGAGACUGUUAAUUUCUUUGCACGAGAGCAAACUUAGAAAUUCAGCAGGGGGUCAAAUAAUUUCCCCUAUUUUACACACACACACACACACACACACACACACACACACACAUAGGGGUGCUAUGCCUUGAGUAGAUGGAUGUACAUCUAUGAUGAGCUGACAAAGCCUCAGAUUUUAGAUCACAUUGAUUACUUUUACAAAUAUUUACCUGAUUAUUUCAACAUUUGGGCACAUUUAAUGUCAUGUGACACAGCAUAUGAAUAUAUGAAUUUCAACACACACAAAUUAUGACCGUAUCACAGAGCAACUCCACACAUAAGCUUGCACACACGCACACUCUUCAACAAUGAAGCAGUGAGUCAUAUUUCCUGUGUGACCAUAUAUGGAAGAUGCUUCCUCUAGUGCACAGUUGCCAGGGUGACAGUGAGAAGCAGGGACACAUGAACACAGAAAAAAAAAAAAAAACUAGCUAAAAGACUUGCUAAUUGCAGGCUGAAUCAUCCAGCUCUUGGAGAAAAGAAAAUAGGACUCACAAACAUUAACCAAGUCAGUGUCAUGUAGAUAGACACACACACACACACACACACACACACACACACACACACACACACAGUAUAUGGACAGACAUACAGCUGCCCGCAAUACUGCAGCUGCUCAGAGUUACUUUUGAUACUGCGCAC